AUUGAACGCUGGCGGCAUGCUUUACACAUGCAAGUCGAACGGCAGCGCGGGCUUCGGCCUGGCGGCGAGUGGCGAACGGGUGAGUAAUGCAUCGGAACGUGCCCAGUAGUGGGGGAUAGCCCGGCGAAAGCCGGAUUAAUACCGCAUACGACCUGAGGUGAAAGCGGGGGACCGAAAGGCCUCGCGCUAUUGGAGCGGCCGAUGUCGGAUUAGCUAGUUGGUGGGGUAAAGGCUUACCAAGGCGACGAUCCGUAGCUGGUCUGAGAGGACGACCAGCCACACUGGGACUGAGACACGGCCCAGACUCCUACGGGAGGCAGCAGUGGGGAAUUUUGGACAAUGGGGGCAACCCUGAUCCAGCCAUGCCGCGUGCGGGAAGAAGGCCUUCGGGUUGUAAACCGCUUUUGUUCGGGAAGAAAUCCUCUGGGCUAAUACCCCGGGGGGAUGACGGUACCGGAAGAAUAAGCACCGGCGAACUACGU
RNAcentral lists this ribosomal RNA (482 nucleotides) under uncultured bacterium. RNAcentral describes it as "partial 16S ribosomal RNA". It matches the Rfam family "Bacterial small subunit ribosomal RNA", at positions 29 to 506 of the family's 1533-position model. The record is from RNAcentral.